Molecule: ribosomal RNA, 442 nt
Filed under: uncultured bacterium
Lineage: Bacteria
Description: partial 16S ribosomal RNA
Rfam family: Bacterial small subunit ribosomal RNA
Source: RNAcentral
CCUACGGGAGGCAGCAGUGGGGAAUAUUGGGCAAUGGGGGGAAGCCUGACCCAGCGACGCCGCGUGAGUGAAGAAGGCUUUCGGGUUGUAAACUUCUUUUAGCAGGGAAGAAUGAAAUGCUGUACCUGUAGCAUCAUCCACGGCUAACUACGUGCCCGCCGCCGCGGUAAUACGUAGGUGGCAAACGGUGUCCGGAUUUACUGGGGGUAAAGGGCGGGUAGCCGGGUUGACAAGUCAGGUGUGAAAUCCUGCGGCUUAACCGCAGAACUGCAUUGGAAACUGUUGAUCUGGAGUACUGGAGAGGCAGACGGAAUUCCUAGUGUAGCGGUGAAAUGCGUAGAUAUUAGGAGGAACACCAGUGGCGAAGGCGGUCUGCUGGACAGUAACUGACGGUGAGGCGCGAAAGCGUGGGGAGCAAACAGGAUUAGAUACCCUUGUAGUC